Falco peregrinus (peregrine falcon) is the source of this 2270-nucleotide long non-coding RNA. RefSeq lists it as uncharacterized. The record is from RefSeq and is a predicted model, not a curated record. NCBI's taxonomy places the organism in Eukaryota, Metazoa, Chordata, Aves, Falconiformes, Falconidae. The transcript is spliced from 3 exons.
AGUACUGGUUCAUGGGGAAAGAGAAUCAGCAAAAUGAAGUUGUUUAGUGACAGAAAAGGAGCAAAGAUGCACUACUUUUCUGUUUCUGUGUUUGGAAUAAGAUCACUAAUAAAGGACAAACAUGAAAAAUUCAAGACUUAAAAGUUCUAAAAAGCAGCUUGACCAGGAUUUUUCAUUAACUGUGUAACAAUAACUUCACUGAGAAAAAUAAACUUUCUUUGCAGAUAUAAAAAAAAUAAUCUUAAGCAUAAUUCCAAAACGCAAAAAACCUCAAAUAAAUGGAGUGUAACAGCUUUUCCCAUUUAGUCUGUAAACAAUCUAACUUGCACAAUUAGCCUUGAUCAUGUUUCAAUACUUUCUCAUUUAAAAAAAAAAUCAUAAAAACCAAACUGAAGAAUUACAGUAGUAGCCUAAUAGCAUUCAUAUAGAAAUAACUGUAGCUUCAGCUUUUAAAUAGGGACACAGCUUAUAUUUCACAUUACCAGAGUAGACGACAAGCACUCCACUGCCUUGAUUCAGGAUUUUUGCAAGCCUUCUUUUUCAGAUGUUAACAAAAGUGAGCUAAGAACUGAGCCAGCUCAUAACCAAUAGAGCUAUUUAAUCUAAUGGAUGUGUUUAGCUGCAUUAUUAGCAGGUGCCUUUUGCACCAUUCCAAUAUCAAAAUAACAUUUACUAUGAUGUAAAAAAUCAAAAUCACACAGGAUUGAUUUUUGUAGUGCAGAGAAUCAUUCUACGAUAGAAACCCAUACUGUGGUGCACACAAUUCUCUGAAGUCUACAGCAACUAGCAUUCUGUAGACUUAAAAAUUUUCAGCAUAAAGCACAUUCAGGGCAACAGUUCUAUUCUGGGCUUUUCUAAAGGUGCUGUCAUUUUUUUAAAAAAUACGUACAACACCUGGUGGUGUUUAUCUAGAAUCUCUCCUGCAGGGUGGAAAAUACAGAAUAGAAUCUUACACAGGAUCAUGACUGUGACUUGUUGCUGUUCUGUUAAGUUUGUGGGUUUUUUUAAAGGACUUAAGUAUUUCAGAAGUGCUACAGACAAAACUGAAACUUGGAAUCUAUUAGAGAUGAAAACAGAAGGAACAUACAGCAUGGGAAGGGCUAUCAACUGUGGUACUAGCACCUGUGAUGUGACAUUCUUUUUCAAAUAUGACGACAAACAACAAAGGCCUUAACCAAAGUAACACACUACCAAGUCUUUUGAAGUCUGCAGAGGUGCUCUACACAUACCUACCCUGUGGAUAAGGUGCACUACAAGCAGAUUAUUAGUGAAGCUCAAGUUGGAAUAUUGAUGGUCUCAGAACAGAUGUUUACAGAAUAUCCCUGGUGACCAGACUCCUUCAGAAAUACCAUCUCUCCUCACCUCAAGCUGCUGACUUUCAGCAUACAAUGGUAAGGCUAUACAUUCACCUAAUUAACGGAGACAAGAUCCUUUAUGAGCAAGGUUAUUACCAGGAGAUCAAACAAGACAAAGCAUUGGUGAAUUUUACCUUCUCACUAGCUGAUCAUUUCUGCUUUAUUUUCACAGAGCUGCUGCAAUUUUGUUUGGGACAAACAUGCUCAGGAUUGUCAAUUAAAUGCAUGACUUACAGUGCAAAAACCACUAACACAGGAAAAAGUAUUUUGUGAAAAUAUUAUAUAAAAAUCAAGUAAUGCAUCAACUGUUAUCAAAAGGUAAAAUAAACUGGUCAGAGACAAGCAGAGAUUCCAAGAAGUGGGAUGCUAAGUAUUCUGAAAUAAUGUAUAGCUAGGCUAUUUUACCUUUUACAGGAGACAUAUGCCCAACCGAGAACCUCUAUAGGUGAUGUAUAUGCUGUAUGAUACAUGCUGUAACAGGUUUUGAGCUUGCUGACUGAUUAGUGUAUCUGCAGUAAAAACCAGCAAGACCUGCACUGUGGAACAGUGGGGCUAACGUUUAUUAAGCAGCGCAAGUUUGGUCAGGUGGGACAAACUCAGUGUAUGAGAGCAUGAGGACAGGUCAUUCUUUACAGGGUGAAAAAGAAAGCACUUGUGCAGCUGAAGAGCAGAAGUGAGGACAAUUCUUUGUAAGUAGUUAUGUGCCAGGUAGAACAUUCUAAGGGCAGGAUCCUGUAUCACUUUGCCAAAAUUCUGCACCUGUUUAUUGUAGUGAGACAAUAAAGGAUUACAGGUAAGCACGGUACAGGUAUGCACAGUACACAAAGCUUUCUCUGUUCCUUUACUAUACCCCUUCACUUAAGUGACAGCUCUGUGAUGAUUUGUUUGAAAGAAAGAGCGUUAUUAAAAGAAGGA